This is an RNA transcript of Rhincodon typus (whale shark), 3722 nucleotides long. It is a transcript of the gene named zinc finger protein 239-like, with no coding region annotated. NCBI's taxonomy places the organism in Eukaryota, Metazoa, Chordata, Chondrichthyes, Orectolobiformes, Rhincodontidae. The record is from RefSeq and is a predicted model, not a curated record. The transcript is spliced from 3 exons.
ACUGCGCAAACGCUAAGGCCCGCCCCUCUCAAGUAACACCCAACAGCACGGCGCAAGCGCAGUGUGUCACCGGGCUUGCACGGGAGCGAGCGGAGCUUUAGGGAUCUCGAGUGUCAGCGGCUCUGAGGCCACGAAUCAAAUAGGCCGGCGCGGCGGAUGUGCGUCGCGGACCAGGAGUUGGGAGUGCAGGGGAACACCAAUAAAAAGUUGGUGCGGUGCCUCCUUGAUUCAAGCCGCCGCUGUUCGGUUUUUCCUCCCCUUUCUAUUGUGUGUGAUUCACAACAAAGGAACUGCCCAGAAUGCCUUGUGGUUAGCCCUGAGGCGCACGCGCAUUCUUAACGCCUGGUGACGAUGCAUGUUAGAUAGAGUAGUUUAUGAGGUGUGCUGAUUUGUGGGAACGGCGACUGACAUUACUAAGUACCAUGUGUGUUUUAUUACAGCCUCACGGACCUGAACAUCAUCAGCCUUUGAACAUUGAAGCAAAGAACGCUGUCCACCAUGGAGAGAAACCAUAUGUGUGUCCUGUGUGUGGACGAGGCUUCAGCCAAUCAUCUAGCCUGUCAAGACAUGAGCGCAGUCACACUGGGAAUAAACCCUGUAAAUGUGGAGAUUGUGAGAAGGAAUUCAGUUAUCCUUAUGAGCUGGAAACUCAUCGGCGUAUUCACACUGGAGAGAGGCCAUUUACCUGCUGUAUAUGUGGGAAGGGAUUUAUUCAGUCAUCUGCCUUAUUGACCCACCAACGUGCUCAUACCGGGGAGAGGCCAUUUGUCUGCUCUGUGUGUGGGAAGGGAUUCACUCAAUCACCCCAUCUCACUGAACAUAAACUCACGCACUCUGAUAAGAGACCAUUUCAAUGCUCUGACUGUGAAAAAAGAUUUAAAAGCAAAAAGGAUCUGCUGACACACCAGCGAGUUCACACUUGGGCGAGGCCGUUCACCUGCUCAGUGUGUGGGAAGGGAUUCAUUGAUUCAUCCCACCUAUUGCGACAUCAACAAACACACACUGGGGAGAGGCCAUUCACCUGCUCUGUGUGUGGGAAGGGAUUUUCUCAGUCAUCCCACCUCAUUGAACAUGAACUUGUUCAUUCUGAUCAGAGACCUUUUCAGUGUUCUGAAUGUGAGAAAAGAUUUAAAAGUAAGAGGUACCUACUGAAGCACCAACGCACCCACAGUGGGCAGAAGCGUUUCACCUGCUCCCUCUGUGGGAAAGGAUUCACUCAGUCAUCUGAUCUGCUGAGACACCAUCAACUUCACCUGUGACUGCAGGGUUGGAUUCUGCUGUUCAUGUUGCUGUUGUUCAUGUCUAGGGUUGAACUGUGUUUGUUCGUACUGAUGUUGAUAAUUUGUUUAACUGGCAUGGAAUUUACUAUUCUGAGUAAAUUAGGAAACAUUGUUUAAAGACAUUGACCCAGAUAUUCUGAUGGACAAAUAGUUUUAGCAGAGUAAACUGAAGUUGUGUAUCAGUGACUCUAGAGGAGAUGUACAGGAAAUUGAAAAUUCCAAUGCAGUUUUCUUGUGUCUAGAAUCCUUUGAUGAGAACCUUAAAGUUUGAGAAUUCUGACAGUUCUAUCUCACUUCAGCUCAAUUGCUAUCCAGGCAAAGGUAGAAAAUGAAAAAGCUGAAACUUUGACUCUCUGUUAAUUUCUUACCAGUGACACCCCCUCAGAUUCCUUACAAUCCCCACUCCUGACCUGACCGUAUCAGACCAGGCAACACCCUCCCUACCCCACACUCAACAUUCUCACCUCACCUGACCUGACACCACUCCAACCUACUGUAAGCACUCAUCAUUUUACAUAUUACCUAUGUCCCACAUUCACUUGGCACCCUAACUCCCUCACCCAACUAUCAGCAUUCCCCACCUAUCACCCUACAACUGCUGCCAACCUUUCUCACUUAUUUAGUUUUUCGCAGAACUGUCAAGUCUCUGCUGGAAGCUUAAAACUCAGAAUACAGCACUCAGCAGUUUAAAAAGGUGCAUGAUUUCUAUGAUGUUCUUCUAUGCUGUUGAAUUCGAGGAUUCCUGGAAAGAUUCAUCAUUGGAGGCCCCUGUCCAGGAGACUACAGCACCAGAACAGAUGGAGGAGUUCACAGGAGCCUGUUGACUGCUCGUGCAUUUGUGCCCGGACUUUUGUUUAGGCUCAGAAAAGACUUAACCUGGAUACUUUUCCGUCUUCUAAAUGCACAUCGGAUCCAUUUGUCCAGGAUUUUUGUCUUUUCACAAUACAUUUGCACAGCAUUGUGAACCAGGAUGAACCUCAUGAGGACUGGCGGUGUGGGCGCAGGACUAAUAGCAGACCCAUCUUGGUUCUCCAACCACAAUUGCUCAGCUCCCAAAUUUCAUUCAGCAUCCAUCCCUAUGAGUCUCACCCAAAAUGCCCCUAGCAAAUCCAUGGCUACUUGCCCAGGUGUCAGUGUGUUCAGUCUUCAAAAGCCAUGGCAAUAGUAACAGGAAUUACUGACAAUCAUUGAAACAGAAUUAAACUUCUAAUAAUCUAUGAAAACAUUGAAUUCAGACACUGUAAUUAAUACUGAGAAAAGCUGCCCAGUGCAAAAAACAUUUAACAAAGGAAAGUGAGCAUUGGUCCUACAGAAAGUGAGAUGGAUAUUUAAUAAUCAAUGAAAAAUACAGAGAUUACAGAUGAAUUCAACAGAUAUUUUGCUUCAUCUUCAUUAUAGGGGAUACAAAUAACACUCCAGAAGCAGCAAUACCUCAAAGCAGAAGGCAAAGAGGAACUUGUAAAAUCAUAAUUACCAGAGAAGUAGUAUUUGAGUACAUUGUUAGAGGUGCAGGCUGACAAGUUCCUGGGUCGUGAUGGAUCUUAUAAGAAGUGGUUCAUGAGAUAGUCAAUGAAUUCGUUUUAAUUCUCCAAAACUAUAGAUUCAGGCAAGGUUCCAUUUGAUUAGAAAAUAGAAAAUAAAUUCCGUUUAUUUAUAAAGGGAGGGAGACAGAAAACUGGAAACUACAAGCCAGUUAGCUUAAUAUGGGGCAUAAGGAAAAUGCUAUAAUCUGUUAUGAAAGAUGUUAUCACAGGGCACUUAAGUUCAAAGUAAUUUGGCAGAGUCAGUAUGAGUUACUAAAAGGGAAAUCACGUGAGAACUCACAAUGUAGUAAUGAUAAAUCAGUAGAUGUACUGUAUAUAAAUUUCCAGAAGACAUUUGAUGAUGUGUGACAUCAAAGGUUAUUGUGGAAUAUAAAUGCCCAUGGUGUAAGAAGGAGCAUAUUGACAUGGACAGAAGAUUGGCUGGCUAACAGAAGCAGAUGGUAGGCAUAAAUGGAUCUUUUUCACCUUGGCAAGGUGUGACUACUGGUGUGCCUCAGGGAUCAGCAUUGUGACCUCAACUUAUUCUCAGUGACUCUGAUGAAAGGACUCAAGGUAUGAUUGUUCAUGACAUAAUAGUAGAUAGCAAAGUAAGUUGUAAAGAGGACAUGAGGCUAUGAAAAGAAAGAGUUUUGUUAAGUGAGUGGCCAAAGAUCUGGCAAAUCUGAUAUAUGUGAAAUUGACCAUUUUGCAGGAUAAAUUAAAAAAAAACAUAAAUAGUGAGAGAUUGAAAGCUGUAACAUGGAGAGAAAUCUUGUGUGUUCCUAUGCAUGAAUCACAAAAGACUGAUGAGCUGGUAAAACAAAUAAUUAGGAAAGUUAAUAGAAUGUUAUGGUUUAUUGCAAAGAGAAUUGAAUACAAAAGUAGAAACAUUAUGCUUAAUUUGUACAGGGCACUGGUA